UUUGCUGAUUCCGGUUGUUCUCUUAAAGCUGCAGUGUGUGAAAGACGCGCUUAAAUAUCGCAGUAUCGAAUCUUUUAGAUAGACGUGCAUGAUCAUGAAGGAAGUGUCAGAUGUACUACGGUUCAAAGAGUAUGUUGAAAGACUAACACUCGGGAUUGCACGGGUACUGGAGAGGCUCCCUGGCGUGACGGAUGUGAGUUUUGUGGAGAGGGCGCCUGCCGAGAAGCGCUGCCUUCUGUCGUGGGAACAGAAAAAUAUGUGUGUUCUUCCUGAGGACUUGAAAGACUUCUAUCUCACUACAGAUGGUUUCACCCUCUCCUGGAGCUCGAAAUUGGAAGGUGAGGCAGUUCCCAUUGGUUCUAUGGUCAUCAACUGUGUGGCAAAACUUUGCCCACUAACCCAGUCUGCAGUUUUCUCGCUUCCAUACGCUCCUACACUGGCUGACCUGGACUGUGAUGAAGAAACAGAAGCGUCUGAGAACCACCCCAAAGUGCCCCACUUUGACUCCCGUAGCCGAAUUUUUGAGCUAGAUCCAUGCAGUGGUAAUGGCAAGGUCUGCCUCGUCUACAAGAACUGCACCCCAGUUAUUUUCUCUCUUAUCUCCUGCAUUGAUCGCUACUUGUUCAGAAGUACCUCAAGUCAGUUGAUUGAAGUCCAGCGGCAGGUCUCACAGCAAAUUUCUCAGGAUAUCAGUACCCCUGGCACUGAGGAGGCAGGACUGGGCACCGAGUUGGGGGAUCUUGAAAGUCAGGUAUGGUGGCUGAGCAGAGUGAGCUGUGGUUCCUGGACCGUUCACUCUACUGGCAUUAUGUGACCUCUUCCUUCACAUCCUACUACCGGCUCAUGAUCAGCCACCUGGGGCUUCCAGAGUGGCAGUACAGUUUUACAUCAUAUGGACCCAGCCCCCAGGCCAAGCAGUGGGCCUGUCUGUACCAACCCUUCACAUUUCAGUGUGACUCACACAUUAAGACAUCUGGGGACCUGGUAUUAAACAAGCUAGACCCUAGCAGGGCCUUCCAGGGUAAGAUGAAGCAACAAGUGCAAAAGAAGAAGACUCCUGUCCAGAGUGGAGGGUGCGGUGGUGGCGGCGGUGGCGGUGGUGGAACCGGAGGAAUCCAGAAGGGUUCUGGAAGGCACACUGGGAUCAAACGUUGAAGGAGUCCCUCCCUGGGAUGAUGCUGCUGUACAGUUCUUGAGUUGUCUGUCCUUCUACUCUUAAUAUACACUCUUCAAAGUAAUUUUUUCUGUGAAAGUACAAGCUGCAGGUUUAUACUAUCUGCAGCUUAUUAUAACCGUAUUUAUUAUGCACAGAUAAUUUAUUUAGCAUGUUUUAUAAGCACAACCUUAAAUCUGAUUUCGGGCCUCCACACAAAUCUGACCAUAAAACAGAAACACAUUUUAUGUGCAGAACUAGUGUUCUUUUUAGAAUGGAAAAAGGAAA
This is an RNA transcript of Scleropages formosus (Asian bonytongue), 1441 nucleotides long. It is a transcript of the gene named tubulin polyglutamylase complex subunit 2, with no coding region annotated. NCBI's taxonomy places the organism in Eukaryota, Metazoa, Chordata, Actinopteri, Osteoglossiformes, Osteoglossidae. The transcript is spliced from 8 exons. The record is from RefSeq and is a predicted model, not a curated record.